UGAGCAAUCUGCCCUUCACAUCGGAAUAACCAUUGGAAACGAUGGCUAAUACCGAAUAUGACUUCGGAUCGCAUGAUCUGAAGUGGAAAGCUCCGGCGGUGAAGGAUGAGCUCGCGGCCUAUCAGCUUGUUGGUGAGGUAAUAGCUCACCAAGGCGAUGGACGGGUAGCCGGCCUGAGGAGGGUGACCCGGCCACACGUGGGACUGAGACACCGGCACGUACCG
Molecule: ribosomal RNA, 224 nt
Filed under: uncultured bacterium
Lineage: Bacteria
Description: partial 16S ribosomal RNA
Rfam family: Bacterial small subunit ribosomal RNA
Source: RNAcentral